Molecule: transfer RNA, 70 nt
Filed under: Drieschia cf. elegans BG-2021
Lineage: Eukaryota; Metazoa; Annelida; Polychaeta; Phyllodocida; Polynoidae
Description: tRNA-Gln
Rfam family: tRNA
About the family: Transfer RNA (tRNA) molecules are approximately 80 nucleotides in length. Their secondary structure includes four short double-helical elements and three loops (D, anti-codon, and T loops). Further hydrogen bonds mediate the characteristic L-shaped molecular structure. tRNAs have two regions of fundamental functional importance: the anti-codon, which is responsible for specific mRNA codon recognition, and the 3' end, to which the tRNAs corresponding amino acid is attached (by aminoacyl-tRNA synthetases). tRNAs cope with the degeneracy of the genetic code in two manners: having more than one tRNA (with a specific anti-codon) for a particular amino acid; and 'wobble' base-pairing, i.e. permitting non-standard base-pairing at the 3rd anti-codon position.
Source: RNAcentral
UGAAAAGUGGUGUACGGUGCACAGUAUGAUUUUGACUCUUAUAGAAGAGGUUCAACUCCUUUCUUUUCAA